Molecule: transfer RNA, 91 nt
Filed under: Candidatus Saccharimonadota bacterium
Lineage: Bacteria; Candidatus Saccharimonadota
Description: Candidatus Saccharibacteria bacterium tRNA-Ser
Rfam family: tRNA
About the family: Transfer RNA (tRNA) molecules are approximately 80 nucleotides in length.
Source: RNAcentral
GGAGAGGUGUCUGAGUGGUUGAAGGUGCCGCUCUCGAAAAGCGGUGUAGUCUUACUGGCUACCGAGGGUUCGAAUCCCUCCCUCUCCGCCA